This 84-nucleotide transfer RNA is filed under the name Vibrio coralliirubri. RNAcentral's name for it is "tRNA-Tyr". It matches the Rfam family "tRNA". From Rfam's summary of the family: Transfer RNA (tRNA) molecules are approximately 80 nucleotides in length. The record is from RNAcentral. Lineage: Bacteria; Pseudomonadati; Pseudomonadota; Gammaproteobacteria; Vibrionales; Vibrionaceae.
GCCGAGAUGCGACGAAUUGGUAAGUCAACUGACUGUAAAUCAGCCGCCUCUGGCAUGGGGGUUCAAGUCCCUCUCUCGGCACCA